Molecule: ribosomal RNA, 474 nt
Filed under: uncultured bacterium
Lineage: Bacteria
Description: bacterial SSU rRNA
Rfam family: Bacterial small subunit ribosomal RNA
Source: RNAcentral
AUUGAACGCUGGCGGCAUGCCUUACACAUGCAAGUCGAACGGCAGCACGGGAGCAAUCCUGGUGGCGAGUGGCGAACGGGUGAGUAAUAUAUCGGAACGUGCCCGGUCGUGGGGGAUAACGUAGCGAAAGCUACGCUAAUACCGCAUACGAUCUACGGAUGAAAGCGGGGGGAUCGCAAGACCUCGCGCGAUUGGAGCGGCCGAUAUCAGAUUAGGUAGUUGGUGAGGUAAAGGCUCACCAAGCCGACGAUCUGUAGCUGGUCUGAGAGGACGACCAGCCACACUGGGACUGAGACACGGCCCAGACUCCUACGGGAGGCAGCAGUGGGGAAUAUUGGACAAUGGGCGAAAGCCUGAUCCAGCAAUGCCGCGUGAGUGAUGAAGGCCUUAGGGUUGUAAAGCUCUUUUACCCGAGAUGAUAAUGACAGUAUCGGGAGAAUAAGCUCCGGCUAACUCCGUGCCAGCAGCCGCGGU